UACGUAGGGGGCAAGCGUUGUCCGGAAUUACUGGGCGUAAAGCGUGCGCAGGCGGCUUUGCAAGACAGAUGUGAAAUCCCCGGGCUUAACCUGGGAACUGCAUUUGUGACUGCAAGGCUAGAGUACGGUAGAGGGGGAUGGAAUUCCGCGUGUAGCAGUGAAAUGCGUAGAUAUGCGGAGGAACACCGAUGGCGAAGGCAAUCCCCUGGACCUGUACUGACGCUCAUGCACGAAAGCGUGGGGAGCAAACAGG
Molecule: ribosomal RNA, 253 nt
Filed under: uncultured bacterium
Lineage: Bacteria
Description: partial 16S ribosomal RNA
Rfam family: Bacterial small subunit ribosomal RNA
Source: RNAcentral